This is a long non-coding RNA of Rosa rugosa (rugosa rose), 2860 nucleotides long. RefSeq lists it as uncharacterized. The record is from RefSeq and is a predicted model, not a curated record. The transcript has 6 exons. NCBI's taxonomy places the organism in Eukaryota, Viridiplantae, Streptophyta, Magnoliopsida, Rosales, Rosaceae.
GAGGAGUCUGGAAUGAACCAAAAGAUUUGUAGACCAACAGAUGCCGUCUGCUUUUCCGUUACACUGACCGAGUCAACUCGAAUAGGACAAGUUAGAUGAAACUGUAAAGUAUGAAGUUACAGAGGGGGCUUUUAGGGGAGAAGGAGAAGGCAGCUGCAUCGAGGAGGAGAUAAGGUUCCAAGACUAAAAACCCUUCUCCGUAGUCCUUCAUUUCUACAAAACAUAAAAUUCCCCUUUGAAGAAAACACAAAUUUGCAAACAAUAGGUCAUUUUGAGAAGGGCGGUUCAAACGAAAUUGCGACCUGGAAAGGAAGCGACAGUCCGAGUUUCAGAAGUUGCGAAAUAAGGCAAAACUUUUGGUGAGGGUGGAAUCAGGAAUGGCGUGAAAUCCCUAAUCAAAUCAUCUUCCUCACACCGCCAAAUGGAUGCAGAGUACUUGUAGUAUGAGGCUGGCGGGGAUGGAGGACACGGCGGAGCUGCUGGAGAAGAAGCAAGCGUCGGAAAUUUUGAAGAUGAGCUUAGAGGAGGCACUCACUCUCGCUCGUGCUUUCAGCCAUUACCUCAAAUUGAUGGGCAUUGCUGAAGUUCAUCACAGAGUUUGUUUGUUGGAAUGAAGAAGCAAUCACCAGAUGCACUUUCUUCUCAUCCCAAGUAAUAUUUGUUCUUUCAAGCAAUGGUAGAUUUUCUACUCAAGAGUUUUAAAUAUGUAUCUCAUUAUCUGGUUUACUAGGGGUUGAGGAAAUUAUUUGGUCAGUAUCUUCUAAAGUUGGUAUUUUUUCCCCAAGUUUUCUUUUGAACGUUUGCCAUUGUUGUCUUUUCAAAAUAAUGUUGAUCUAAUAUGCUUACUUAGGACUACAUGCAUAUAGCCAUGCAUAUCGCCUGAGCGUAACUAAUUAAUACAGAGACUUAGAAUAUUCUUAUUCUGGAAUAAGCCUUGGCUGGCUAGCUAUUCUUCGCAUAUGUCCUGACCUAUAAGGAACCUUAUUAAAAAGGAAUAUGAGGUCUGCUAGCUCCUUCAUAUCAGCAAAAGUAUUGUGUAGGCUUUGUUUCUUCAGUUUCUUUUUGGGUUUAGCUGUCUUCUUCCUGUGCCAAGCUUCUUAACUUUGCUUCGGAUUUCCAUUUUCAUUUGUUUGUUUUAUUGUGUUUAGUAACUUUUAAGGAGGUGAAUCUCAACUGGAUAAUCUCAUUAGGCACCAGAAGAUUGUAUCUUUCUGGCGAGUCCCUGUUAUCUUUUGUAUCGUAAGGAUCAAAGAACAUGCAGUUUUAUAUCAAUCACUUAAUCUUCAGGGCUGGGGGCCGUGCAUGGGCUGGGCGGGGCUGCAAGGGUUGAGCAGGGCAUAUGCGUGAGCUAGCGAGGCUAAUGGACUCGCGGGGCUGGGCAAGCUUUGCGCAGGCGGGGUGUAGGCCGUGUGUAGCGAGGCAGACUUGCCCGAGCUCCAGGUUUUGCAGCUAUUGGAGAACAACUUCACUGGGUCUAUUACUCAAGGAGCUCUGCAUCUUGAUUCAAAUGGGUGAGAACUUUCUAAAUGGGUCGAUUCCUAAAGGUUUCUUUGGUUGCCCAAACUCACUCAAGUGGAGCUGCACGAGAUCGUCUGGGUCAGGGACUAAAUUACCUCAAUCUCUCAAUAAACCAUCUUGUGGGGAACAUGCCAUCUACCCUUUCGGCAAUAGAGAUAUACUUGGCAAAAAUCAAUUUCCCAGUUCUGCUUGAAACCUCCUUCGCUGGAAGUAGAACCACUUUUGAAAAGUUCUUCCUUUAUUUACUCCUCCUCUCUUGAUCCUAUAAAGGAAGUUCUUACUGUGGCCAUACCUCAUUUGCAACAAAGCUAUUUCUAAACUACUAUUUGAUUAGACUACUGCAAAAUUCUCAAUCAACCUUCAUUUCAUGGAUAUCAACAGAACAAACAAUUAAAACCUCAUGAAGUAAUCCAAAAGAAAUUAAAGAUAUAGUUGAUGCUCCGCCGCUUCCGGCCUUGUCAUUCUCACCGCACAGGGAUAAGAUACUGUUCUCAAGCGGAGAGUUUUGCCACCGUUGACAGAACUUGCAAGACCAGAGGAGAAUUUUGCUGGUGUUCGGAUUGAUGAAAAAUGCAAUACAAGGACUCGGAUGUCGUUUUAUACUGGGAUUGGGAUUCAUCAAUUGUUGUUGGUGUUGGUGAGUAAUGAGGUUGGGGUGGUGAGGUGGCGGGGAGUGGAGAACGGGUCGUCGAUGUCACUGGCGGCGCUUGAGGUGGAGGCGAGCUUGAGGGCAUAGAGUCAUAGACGAUGUAAGUGACGGAGACGAAUAGGAUGAGCCAAGACGAGAAGUUUCGGGGUGGCUCCGCAUCUGAUCUCAAACCAUAUGAAGUACCAAUUUUACCCUUCAAAAAUUAACGCCAUUGACGAUAUUACUGUUGCCAGGUACAGAAAUUGGGUCGGGUUGAAAUCUUCAGGUACCAUUUUGAUGUUUUUUAAAGUAUAGGUACGAAAAUUAAUAGUCUGGAAAAGUUCAGACACUGUUUGGACGAUUUUCCCUUUAUUUUUUCACAAUGAUAGGGAAGCUAACAUUGAACCAGCAAUGUCAUCACAUACGGUGCACAACCCAACAAGCAGAAAACUGACUGAAGCAGCAUGUCAUUGCAAUUCUUGCUCCACUUUUUGUUUAGAUAUUACUGGAGCAAGCAAUUUUUUGAUAGGCUAACACGUUUUGUUUAUAUACACCUAGACCAACUAGAACAACUACUUUUUGGAAAAUAUUCCAGCAACAACUGUAAAUAAGUAAACCUUGGAUAGCCUAUUUUUUGAACACUCCACUAUGAUAAGAUCAUCCUUUGUUUUAGAUGAUCUACAGUAAUGAAAACAGUUCUAUCAUUUAUACUCA